AUACGUAGGGGGCAAGCGUUGUCCGGAAUCACUGGGCAUAAAGGGUGCGUAGGCGGCCUAGCAAGUCCUGUGUGAAAUACCUCGGCUUAACCGGGGAGGGUCAUGGGAAACUGUUAGGCUCGAGUGCCGGAGAGGGCAGUGGAAUUCCAGGUGUAGCGGUGAAAUGCGUAGAUAUCUGGAGGAACAUCAGUGGCGAAGGCGACUGCCUGGACGGUAACUGACGCUGAGGCACGACAGCUGGGGGAGCAAACAGGAUUAGAUACCCUGGUAGUCCCAGCCGUAAACGAUGAGUGCUAGGUGUUGGGGGUAUCGACCCCUCCAGUGCCGUAGUAAACACAUUAAGCACUCCGCCUGGGGAGUACGGCCGCAAGGCUGAA
Molecule: ribosomal RNA, 377 nt
Filed under: uncultured bacterium
Lineage: Bacteria
Description: bacterial SSU rRNA
Rfam family: Bacterial small subunit ribosomal RNA
Source: RNAcentral